RNAcentral lists this ribosomal RNA (341 nucleotides) under uncultured bacterium. RNAcentral describes it as "partial 16S ribosomal RNA". It matches the Rfam family "Bacterial small subunit ribosomal RNA", at positions 338 to 696 of the family's 1533-position model. The record is from RNAcentral.
CCUACGGGAGGCAGCAGUAGGGAAUAUUGCUCAAUGGGGGAAACCCUGAAGCAGCAAAGCCGCGUGGAGGAUGAAGGUCUUCUGAUUGGAAACUCCUUUUGUUAGAGAAGAUAAUGACGGUAUCUAACGAAUAAGCACCGUCUAACUCCGUGCCAGCACCCGCGGUAAUACGGAGGGUGCAAGCGUUACUCGGAAUUACUGGGCGUAAAGAGGGCGUAGGCGGGAUAGCAAGUCAGAUGUGAAAUCCUAUGGCUUAACCAUAGAGCUGCAUUUGAAACUGUUGUUCUAGAGUAUGGGAGAGGUAGGUGGAAUUCUUGGUGUAGGGGUAAAAUCAGUAGAGA